Molecule: small nuclear RNA, 111 nt
Organism: Procambarus clarkii (red swamp crayfish)
Lineage: Eukaryota; Metazoa; Arthropoda; Malacostraca; Decapoda; Cambaridae
Source: RefSeq, a predicted model, not a curated record
CUUCUCUCGCUUCGGCAGUACAUAUUCUAAAAUUGGAUCGAUGCAGAGAAGAUUAGCAUGGCCUUGCACAAGGAUGACACACAAAAUCGUAAGCGUGCGUUACACAUUUUU